Molecule: long non-coding RNA, 634 nt
Organism: Salvia miltiorrhiza (redroot sage)
Lineage: Eukaryota; Viridiplantae; Streptophyta; Magnoliopsida; Lamiales; Lamiaceae
Exons: 3
Source: RefSeq, a predicted model, not a curated record
CUUGAUUGGGAUUUGCCCCUUUUAAAAUGCAGAUUUACCCCUUCUUCCUCAUAGAAUUCGUCCGCCAUAAUCGAGGAAUAAGAAGUUUUUCCAAGAUCCAACAUCCGGCGACUCAUCCUUAGAACGCCGCUGUUCAUCGACGCGGAGGUCAAAGGUUGGUUGAUCCAACAUCCGGCGACUCAUCUUCUAUGGAUAUGCAGACAAUGUCGGGUUUCACUGGGAAAAAUGCUUAUUCGGGUCAUUGUCGGUUAUACCUCAUGCGCCAUUUGGAGACUUUUAUGGGAGAUGGUUCAACAAGUUAGAAGUGUGGAAUGUCGUCAUCGUCUCCAUGUCAUAUGAGCCGUAUGCGAGUUAGAUAUUGUGGCACAAUUUUGAGUUGCGAGUUCAAUGAUGUGAGGGGGAAGCUGUUGAAAUAUGCGGCUGCACAUUAUCUGGAGUUGUGCAAGAAUAGCAACUUCAAUGCUAACUACAUCUUGCUUGGAUGAUACAACUCAAUUUUCAUGAAUAAGUGUUAGACAUUAAACAAUUUUUAUGUUUUAGGCCAUUUUUCUAUAGGUCAAAGACCCGUUAUUACAUUUGACAAUUGGAAUCUAAUUUAUGCAUAUUGGUUGUUCUAAUUUGCUCGCAUGUGGUU